GGGCAUGCAAAUUCGAAAUGAAAGCCCGGAAACCCCGGAACUAGAACUGAUCUCUUCAACUACCUGUGAAAACUGAUGUGAUGAAAAGGGGAAUUUGAAGGAGCCAUUCCAGAAGACAGGGCGAAAACUGAAGUGCAAUCAGGGCCAAGAAAAACAGAAAUAGCAGGACCUGGAGUUGCAUAGGUUGAAUAGUUGAAUAGGCUGCUCUCCUCAGCUGGCAGGAAACCUGGCAGCCUCCUGGUGCCCAAGGACUGAAAACCUUAGAAGCACCUGGAGUUGGCAGCCUUGGCAUGGUCAGGUUGGCACCUCUGGAGGUGCCCAGGCUUCCCUGGCAGCAUUGUGAGCAGUGGAUGGUGUUGAAGGGCAGCCAGAGGAGGAAUGGAACACAUGCUCCUUGCUAACCACACGGACAAGGCCACGUUCACAGGUACACAAAGGCAACGCAGUUGCUCAGGUGCUUCGGUAUCACAGCCAAGACCCCUUCGGGGGAAGCUAGUCGGAUACUGGGACCCACAUUCCAGACUACUGAGCCGCGGUCGCGCCCUCGGCUCCGUUUCUGCUCCCUCCACCCCACGAGGACGGGGGUGGAAGGCCACCUUCGAUGGGUGCAUCCUCCACGAUGACCUGCUAACAAAGGUGCAUGGAUUUCAGAGUCUGAUUGGCCUACAACAGCAUUUGGCUUGUGGAGACAGUGGUUCCCUGAUGAAAAACUGCCAUGAUGUAAGGAAGAGCCUGUCAGAGCGAGGCUGGGGUGCUGCGUGUUGGGGAGGUGGAGGUGUGGCUUCCCGGGAGAAGCUCCACCCGCUGGCUGAGUCUGGCACAUAAACCAGUCUGUGAGGGGAUGGAUGUGGGUGUAAUGGGGGCAAUUACAGUAGGAAGGAGCCCACGUGGAGCCUGCAUUCUCUGGGACAGGGCAUUACUGCAUUCUCUGGGACAGGCUAAGGCCCAGAUCCUACCUUCCCAGGUGGCUGGAUGGGUCAUAGAUGUAUGAACCGGUCCCCUCAUUUUCUGAUUGCCCUGUGCUUAACGUUUCUGUACCUUUACUGAGGCUCUUUCCUCCAACUCCAGUGCCCAGACCCCCCUUCUCCUGAACAUGAAUGCCUGUCCAUGGAAAUUCGAGUCUCUCUCUCUCACCCAGGCUGGAGUGCAGUGAUGCAAUCUCAACUCACUGCAACCUCUGCCUCCCAGGUUCAAGUGAUUCUUGUGCCUCAGCCUCUGGAGUAUCUAGGAUCACAGGUGCGUGCCACCAUGUCUGGCUAAUGUUUUGUAUUUAUAGUAGAGAUGGGUUUCGACAUAUUGGCCAGGCUGGUCUUGAUCUCCUGGCCUCAAAGUGAUCUACCCACCUGGGCCUCCCAAAUUGCUGGGAUUACAGUUGUGAGCCACCACACCCAGCCUGUCCCUGAAAUUCUAAUGAAAUGUGCGAUAAA
Homo sapiens (human) is the source of this 1427-nucleotide long non-coding RNA. Ensembl annotates it as long intergenic non-protein coding RNA 910. The record is from Ensembl. NCBI's taxonomy places the organism in Eukaryota, Metazoa, Chordata, Mammalia, Primates, Hominidae.